This 1019-nucleotide long non-coding RNA is filed under the name Marmota monax (woodchuck). The record is from RNAcentral. Lineage: Eukaryota; Metazoa; Chordata; Mammalia; Rodentia; Sciuridae.
UUAUAGUUAAUUGCUAAUUGCACAAAAUGAUAGUUUGAGGGCCUGUAAUUAAAAGCUUAACCUUUCUGGUUUGGGGGAAGGGGACCCCAGUAGAUAUUUUUUUUCUUGAUACACUUUGUAACAUUCAAUUACAAGGCUUAAGGAAAGAAAAACGGAAGCAAAAGCAACACUCCUAGAAGGACUGAUCUUUGUUUUGUGUCAAACAGUUCCUGAGCCUAUAAUUUGCUUUUUGUGCACUUCAGUUUAUUUCGCCUGAUUGAGGUGCGUUGUCUGUUGUGGCCCAUUGAGCAGUUAACAAGAGUGGGAGUUAUUGCACCUUCACUGAAGAGUUUUUAUACUUUUUUUAAAGUUGUUUUUACCUUGAAUGACUCAAACUUGGCAGAUUUCAAUAAUAUCAUGUCCUGGCUCUAUUCUGUUGCUGAUCCGAGGAGUAGAGGACACUACCUAGCUGUAUUCUCCUUGCCCUGGUUCUCCUGGGCAUUUGUCAAAGCUAGUCAGCAGAAGGGAUGUUUAUUUGGGAAUUUACCAUCCCCAGGAGACAGAGAGAUGAGGAAAAUUCUGAGUCAGGAUACAUUUUGGUUUAUCUGGGGUUUAUCUAGAUUGUGACUGAAAAACAUGAAGUGGCUUUAUUUGAUGUAUAGAUGAAGACUUGUACUCCAGCUCAUUGUGAAUGCUACUUUGCUCAUUCUGUAGUUACAUGAUCAAUACAAACUGCAGGAGCCACACACAUGUUGCAUGUGAAACAAAUUAAAUUUGUGCCAUUUGGUAGUGCAAAUGCAUGCUUGUGCUGUCCACCUCACAGGCACUGAGGUGAAUGGUCAAACCCUAGGUGCAUGAUGUGUUCAGUUUUCUUGAGGUUGGGAAAAGGCCAUUUCCACUUUACUGAGGACAAAAGGGAGUAGAGGGCAUGGAUGGAAUCAACAUGAAAAGGCACAGCAUUAAUAAAGAAUGAUGUAGUUUGUUUUUAACAUUUUAUUCAGUGAGAAAUGUACACUACAAGCUAAACAUUGAUAUAGGAC